This 1079-nucleotide long non-coding RNA is filed under the name Triticum aestivum (bread wheat). RNAcentral's name for it is "long non-coding RNA (TAES_LNC006938)". Lineage: Eukaryota; Viridiplantae; Streptophyta; Magnoliopsida; Poales; Poaceae. The record is from RNAcentral.
UUGCGUCAUUUGCUCACCGGAGUCCUUGGCCCCCUCUUCUUUUCGCCGGAGAUCGCCAUGGCCGCCUCGGUUCCUCCUCGGUUCCGGCGAGCCUAGCCUCCAUCUCCUCCUCCAGGGUUGUCCAUCGCGUUCCUCUCCUCCCCGCGAUCCCCGAGUCCGUCCGUCGCCUCCAUCUCUUGGCCGUUUCUUCAUCUAGCCUCCUCGAGCUUCCUCGCGCCCUUUUGACCACACCUCCUGGAGGUCCGCCCCACACCAUCAGCCUUGCCGAAGUCGUCCCACAUCAUCGUCAACGGCCGCCGCCCGUCCACUCCUGUCGCUGUCUGUCUUCGGUCAUCACCGUCGUUCCUGGCCGCCCCGGUGCCCUUGCUCCCCGAGAACGGACGUUCCGCUCCGCUGCGAGCCCGUCGGUGCUUGCGCCCUGGCCGGAGCUGGCCUGGGCCGGCCACCCUUCUCCGCGCCCCUCCUCUGCUCUAUUCUGUUCCGCUCGGGAACGAAUAGGAACGAUGGGAGGAGGAUGACGAUGCCCAUCCAGCUAGCCAGGCGGGCCCCGCCUCCCCUCUUGGCCCCAUGCAUAAGUGAGAUAUCCCCGGGCCCAACUCUGUUAAGUGCAAGCGUAUUUGUAAAAAUACGUUUUUGUUUUAAAGAAAGCGUAUUCCUUCCUUCUUUUGUCAUAAAUGCGCUUUCCCUUCUGGAAAGCGUAUUUCCUUUAACUGCAGCUAAAAAUACAUUUUCCUAUUCAGAAAACGUAUUCAUCAGAAGGCGCUUUCUGUUUUCUAAUCCAGGGACCUGUUUGCUGAAGAAAUAUUCACAGAUUGGUCCUUCUCCUUCCACCCUUCAUAACUUUUCAACCGUAGAACCGAUCGAGGUGAAACCAACGCUCACUUCUUCGUCUCGUCAAGCUCUUUUUGUUGGUAGCAUUUUGACUAGGUGGUCCCAUAGUGAAAACGGCCAUUUUGCCCUUGCCUCUAAUCAGCCCCUCCGAGAGAGAACCGUCUGGUGUUUCAUUUCUGCGGCUUCACCGCACUUCUUCGCGGAGUCUCCGUCACCCCCAAGCAAGACACAACAACCAUUUGUAUGAU